AUGCAUAGCGAAAGCUAAAGUUGUUUAUAGUUUAUUAAUUUUACUUUCCCAUAAAGAAUAGUAAAGCUGGUAAGCAGCAAAUAAAUGAUUUAUCGACUAUGUCGAUUAAAAUUCCAGGUAGAAUUAUGAUUAUGACAUUGUUUACCUGUGUGUCUUGACCAAAUUACGUGCCAGCAGUCGCGGUAAUACGUAGAAGACUAGUGUUAUUCAUCUUUAAUAGGUUUAAAGCGUACCUAGACGGUAAAUCAAGCCUUAAUCGGGACUAAUUUGCUAGAGUUAUUUGUGAGGGGGCAUUAAAGUACUAAUGGUGUAGAGAUGAAAUUUUGUCAUACCUUUUCUUGAAAAAGAAGUCAUGGCACUGGUAUAGGCGAAAGCAUCCCCUUAUGUGUUAACUGACGUUGAAAGACGAAGGCUUUGUGUCGCGAACAGGAUUAGAUACCCCAGUAGC
This 448-nucleotide ribosomal RNA is filed under the name Scoliciosporum sp. RNAcentral's name for it is "SSU rRNA". It matches the Rfam family "Bacterial small subunit ribosomal RNA", at positions 344 to 794 of the family's 1533-position model. Lineage: Eukaryota; Fungi; Ascomycota; Lecanoromycetes; Lecanorales; Lecanoraceae. The record is from RNAcentral.